Molecule: transfer RNA, 72 nt
Filed under: Marmota monax (woodchuck)
Lineage: Eukaryota; Metazoa; Chordata; Mammalia; Rodentia; Sciuridae
Description: tRNA.Ala
Source: RNAcentral
GGGGGGUUGCUUAGUGCUAAAACACUUGCCUAGCACACAUGAAGCCCUGGGUUCCAUCCCCAGUACCCCCCU